This 775-nucleotide ribosomal RNA is filed under the name uncultured Neocallimastigales. Its description in RNAcentral is "partial large subunit ribosomal RNA". It matches the Rfam family "Eukaryotic large subunit ribosomal RNA", at positions 24 to 642 of the family's 3401-position model. Lineage: Eukaryota; Fungi; Neocallimastigomycota; Neocallimastigomycetes; Neocallimastigales. The record is from RNAcentral.
UAUCUCUGUAGAGUCUGCAUAUCAAUAAGCGGAGGAAAAGAAACUAACAAGGAUUCCCCUAGUAACGGCGAGUGAAGCGGGAAGAGCUCAAAUUUGAAAUCUUAAAGGGUUUCCCUUUACGAAUUGUAGUUUAAAGAAGUGUUUUCUGUUGGAGUUUCGGUAAAAGUUCUUUGGAAUCGGACAUCAUAGAGGGUGAGAAUCCCGUAUUUGACCGUUACUUUCCAGCUGUGUGAUACACUUUCAAAGAGUCGGAUUGUUUGGGAAUGCAGUCCAAAAUGGGUGGUAAAUUUCAUCUAAAGCUAAAUAUUGGCGAGAGACCGAUAGCGAACAAGUACCGUGAGGGAAAGAUGAAAAGAACUUUGAAAAGAGAGUUAAACAGUACGUGAAAUUGUCAAAAGGGAAGCGUUUGACACCAGUGUUGUUUUUCCGAAAAUCAAUUAAAAAUUGAUUCAUGCCAGGUUGUAUUGACCUUAUCAGCUUGCAAUUUGGUUUUGGGUCUCUUUUUGAUGCACUUUUCGGUUAACAAGUCAACAUCAAUUUCCUUUGCUGUAAAAAGGUAAGAGGAAGGUGGCUUCAAUUUCGGUUGAAGUGUUUAUAGCCUUUUAUCUCUGCAGUCGGGGAGAUUGAGGUCUGCAGCGUAGAUCCUUCGGAGCUAGAUACAUUUAUGCUAAGUUAUAGCUUUUCAUAGACAACUUGUUGACUAUGUUUAGUCAUGUAGCUUACUCGUAAGUGCUAUUUUACCUACGCUUAGGAUGUUGAGCGCAUGUCUCUCUCU